CGAAGAUCAAGAAACUGCUGAUAUAGAUAAGCCAAAAGUCUCCAAAGUUGUAAAUAAACGAUUAUGGAGCGAGAAUAAAGUGAAUUGCAUCCAGAAGGAGUUUGCACAAUACCUCCAAACAAACACUUACC
Long non-coding RNA from Cylas formicarius (sweet potato weevil), 131 nucleotides. RefSeq lists it as uncharacterized. The record is from RefSeq and is a predicted model, not a curated record. The transcript is spliced from 3 exons. Lineage: Eukaryota; Metazoa; Arthropoda; Insecta; Coleoptera; Brentidae.